RNA transcript from Gastrolobium bilobum, 1602 nucleotides. RefSeq lists it as uncharacterized. NCBI's taxonomy places the organism in Eukaryota, Viridiplantae, Streptophyta, Magnoliopsida, Fabales, Fabaceae. The record is from RefSeq and is a predicted model, not a curated record. The transcript has 3 exons.
GCACCGUCGCGAAGCUGAGCAGUUCACGGAGCUGCAACUGAAAGAGUUAACAAUGAAGGCCCCUAUCCCUCCGUCGAGAGUGGUUGCAAUAGCAAUAGCAAUAGCAUCCUUAUCUAUCGUUCCCUCUUCUUCGUGCCAAUUGGCAGAUCUCAAAUCGGACUCCAUCAACACGUGUUACUUCUCGUCACCAUUCCCUGGUCUGGCGAGCCUCGCUCUCUUAUGAAGCAUGUUUCACUCGUGGUUGCUGAUAAGCCUCACGAGUUUGGCAAUUUAAAACUCAUGUUUAUUCAUAGAAACACAGAGAAGAUGCUAGCUGAUUCCAUAGGUGCUACUGCUACUGAUGAAAUAACAGUAAUUUAUUUCCAUUAUUCUGUAUCUUACAAGUACAGAGGAAGACUUAGAGCAAAUAAUAUAUUGUCUUCAUUGUAUCAUUAUAUGUCCCUUGCGCCUGAGGAGUUUCCCCUCAAAGCCCUCAACACUCCUCAAGAUUUCACAACAUUCCUUGAUUCAACUGAUGAGGCUCUAGUUCUUGUUGACUUUUGUGGAUGGACUCCAAAGUUGCUUGCCGAAAAUAAGAUGAAAAAUGGAACGGUUAAUGGUUUCAGCAUGCACGCCCCCCAAUAGAAAUUCCUGGUUCCGCCAUUGCAUGUUGAAUCAAUGAGACAAUGGAUCUGAGCCUUGUGUGGGUAUAUAGUAAGCAGCCUUACUUUGGAGCUGAUUAUAUGAUUUGAGCCGGUCACCUACAGGUCAUGUGGCGACAACACCAACCAUUGUGCCGAGGCUUCCUUUCUCUUUUUGUAUACUUAUGUUAUGCGUAUAUAUAUUUUUUGGAAUGUAUUAAUUGUCGUAACCCUCAGCAGAAGGUGAGUCACUGUAGGUAUGUGGAUUUUUUCCUUGUAGGGGAUCACCUUGGAAUGGGCUUUAGUGGAGGUAAUUAUAGAAUAUCAGUAUCAAGGGAGAAGACUAACCAGAAGGUGGCUGGUAUUAUCUAAGUGCAUGACAAUAUGAAAUUUUUGACCUUAAAUAAUAAAUUCAUCAUUUCACCCUUUUCUGUUUCCCCAAAUCAUCAGAGGAUGACAUGUGCAAGACUGAACUCAGCUUUGAGAAAGGGUUUUGUGAAGCUCCUUGGCUUGGGGAGUUUACCUCAGUAAAAGGUGGUCCUUUGGAAGGCUCCAAGGACAGGAAUCAUCAUGUUCUUAAUUCCUGUUCAUUUGAAGAAUUUGAGCGUUUCCAUUCUUUCUACUUGAAAUUCAUGACUGCUGCGAAAGAAUUCUUUCUGCCUCCGGAACGACAUAGAUUUGGACUGGUUUCAGAUAGGUCCAUGCUUUCAUCCUUAGGUGUUGGUGAUUCUGGUUCAUGGUUUGCUGUUCACUACCUUGCUGGAUGCUCAAGUUGUUCAAAAAUUCUUAAAGAAGAGGAUGACUUGAAGUAUGUUUCGCAGAUGAAUAAUUAUAUUGUCAAAGAGGUGAAUAAAACCUUUCUAAAUUUUGUUUCAUGUUCUGCAGUUUAUGCCAUAAUGUUAUAUUUCUAUAUGGUAUAAUGUUCAUGUAACAUGAUACACAUAUUUCUCAUCUUUUAUUAUUUAUUUUUUUGUAAAGUUAA